CGCACAGCUCAGUAACACGUGGCUAACCUGCCCUUGGGAUGGGGAUAACCCCGGGAAACUGGGGCUAAUCCCCAGNNNNUGAAGGNNNCUGNNNNGNAUCUUCGCUGAAAAGGCACUAGAUCAUGCUUCUAGGCGUCGCCCAAGGAUGGGGCCGCGGCCGAUCAGGUUGUUGGUGAGGUAAUGGCCCACCAAGCCUUUUACCGGUGCGGGCCGUGAGAGCGGGAGCCCGGAGAUGGGCACUGAGACAAGGGCCCAGGUCCUACGGGGCGCAGCAGUCGCGAAACCUUUGCAAUACACGAAAGUGUGACAGGGUCAUCCCGAGUGCCGACCGCUGAGGUUGGCUUUUACCCAGUCUAGCAAGCUGGGGGAAUAAGGAGAGGGCAAGUCUGGUGUCAGCCGCCGCGGUAAUACCAGCUCUCCGAGUGGCGUGGACGUUUAUUGGGCCUAAAGCAUCCGUAGCUGGCUGAACAAGUCCCCUGUUAAACCCACCGAUUUAAUCGUUGGUCUGCGGGGGAUACUGUUCGGCUAGGGGGCGGGAGAGGCAGACGGUAUUUCCGGGGUAGGGGUGAAAUCCUAUAAUCCCGGGAAGACCACCAGU
RNAcentral lists this ribosomal RNA (598 nucleotides) under uncultured crenarchaeote. RNAcentral describes it as "partial 16S ribosomal RNA". It matches the Rfam family "Archaeal small subunit ribosomal RNA", at positions 82 to 664 of the family's 1478-position model. Lineage: Archaea; Thermoproteati; Thermoproteota. The record is from RNAcentral.